CAUAUAAGUGGUUUUAUGAAUCUUUCUAAGCUGAUGUCUUUCGCCUAUUAAAAAUUAUGCUGCUCAAUUAGCAUUAGAGGCCUUAUGUUUGGUAAUUACAAGUGUAUGAGCUACAUGAGUCUCUAUACAUGUGUGUGCUUUGUUCCACUUUCUUGAUUCUUGAUUCAAAUUCUCUAUGUAUAAUUGUAUCAAAUAUUUAAAGUAAAGGAGUCAAAGAAUAUUGUGAAGUUCCCAAAAAGAAUCCUAAAUACCUUUAUAUAUAUUUUAAAAGGAUGGGGCUGUUUUGAACAUGAUUUUGCUUGCCUGUCUGCCUUUCCGCCUGACUCCUUCACUCUCGUGUUAUGGAAGUCUGUUGGAAACUUUCAAUAAGCUGAGUAAUGUUGUACCUUGCAAAAAAGCCUUCCACUCUGAGAAACAGGGCCUUAGAGAGUGGGAAUGUUUUCAUACUGGGACUACUAAGACUUUGCAGAUGUGUGCAUCUGACGUGUCCUUACAUGUACUGAAUGUAAUGUGUUGAAUGUUUAUGUGUAGUCGAUAAAGUAUCUAUAUGUAUGUGCAUAAGACUGCCACAAGAUGUAUUCUCAGGAAUACCACUACCUGGAGUUUGAAGACUAAUUAUUUAAAAAAAAAAAAAAAAACAGUCGGGGAAGAUUGGAAAAAAGUUCAAGAUAAUUAACAAUUUUUGUAAUGUUCAAAAUAUUAUUGAAUAUAUGACUAAAAAGCUAAUUAUUACAUAUGAUAAAUACAGUAUUGGUAUUAUUAGAUAAUUUCUUAAGCUAGGAUGCUUAAUGAUAUUUAUCUUUUUCAGAGGAAAAUUAAAACAGGCAUCUAUUCCCAUGUAUUAAAAAUUGGAUUCAUCCAAGAAGUUGCUUCUUCAGAAAUUAACUUCUGAGAGACCUUGGAUUAAACAAGUAUCAUCCAUGAUAAUGGGUGUACAUUUAUAUUACUCGGAUUCAAUUAAAGCAGUUCAGAUUCUGGAGACAGCAUUUCUAUAGCAAAACAUUUUACUUUCAUUUUUCAGAAUUUGCUGCUUUCUAUAAUUCUAUUAGAUAAGUUAUUUGAUUUCUUCCAAAAAGGAAACUGUUACUAAAUGCACUGGGACAAGGCACUGAGAACUACAAUGUCAAAAGGCAUAAAUGGACGUGAUAAUGUUGGGGAAAAAAAUCUGUGGUGUUGGGGUCUGGUUAGGGUCCGUUGCACAGGCUGGAAGUAGCUGCUUUGCCAUUUCAAGCCUCCAGGAGUACCUUAGGCAGGGUGACAUCUCCUCUCUUCUUCAUUACAUCCCCUCUAAUCAGUGAAGAACAUUCUCCACUCUGCUGUCCAGCUCCAAGAGCAUCCGAGAUGAGAAUAGGGGGUACAUAGGGAUCUAUAGGUAAGAAAGGAUCACGAAUAGAAUUGCAGUCCAAAACACAAUUAAAUACCCUUCCUCAAGUUACACAGGAUACUUCAGUAGUCUCUGGGAUUUGCCGCUGUCACACCGUGUCAUGCUGUUGCCUGUGACCCCACACUUCCAACUCCAGGGCCUUGUCUUUAGCAGUGAGUAGAAAGCCUCACUUCCUCAUUGACUUUAGUGGGUCUCAACUGCAGCAUUUCAGAAACAAAGUUUGGUUUGACACUCAGGAGAAUAAAAACAAGUUAAGGGCAGAAUGUAUUUGGAAAAGCUUAAGACAAAUUUACUUAUAUUAUUUUAGGAUCAUUUAGGAUUACAGAUCAAUGUACCUCCAUAAUAUUUUUCAAUAGUCACUGUGACUGCAGGAUGAAAAUCCUUAUUAGCCAUUUUAUAGGUAAAACAAAAGAUUGAUUUCACAGCCAACUUCUCUCAGAUGACUAUGAAGUCUGUUCUGAAUAACGAAUGACCAAAGAGCAUGGAAAAAAUGCAUAUGAAUAAAUGCUGAAAUGUUUAUGAAAGAUAUUUAUGAAACAUAUUAAGACUUCUGUGUUUGAAUAUGCACAUAUAAUAA
This is a long non-coding RNA of Equus caballus (horse), 1961 nucleotides long. NCBI's taxonomy places the organism in Eukaryota, Metazoa, Chordata, Mammalia, Perissodactyla, Equidae. The record is from Ensembl.